This 852-nucleotide ribosomal RNA is filed under the name uncultured soil bacterium. RNAcentral describes it as "bacterial SSU rRNA". It matches the Rfam family "Bacterial small subunit ribosomal RNA", at positions 26 to 898 of the family's 1533-position model. The record is from RNAcentral.
AGGAUAAACGCUGGCGGCGUGCAUGAGACAUGUAAGUCGAACGAGUCUUCGGGCUUGCCUGAAGGCUAGUGGCGGACGGCUGAGUAACGCGUAGGUGACCUGCCCCGAAGUGGGGAAUAACUGCCCGAAAGGGUGGCUAAUACCGCAUGUGGUCGCAUGUUCGUUCGUGCGACUAAAGCCGAAAGGCGCUUCGGGAGGGGCCUGCGUCCGAUUAGCUCGUUGGUGGGGUAAUGGCUCACCAAGGCGACGAUCGGUAGGUGGUCUGAGAGGACGAUCACCCAGACUGGGACUGAGACACGGCCCAGACUCCUACGGGAGGCAGCAGUCGGGAAUUUUGCACAAUGGGCGAAAGCCUGAUGCAGCAACGCCGCGUGAGGGAUGAAGGCCUUCGGGUUGUAAACCUCUUUUCUCAGGGACGAUAAUGACGGUACCUGAGGAAUAAGCCACGGCUAACUACGUGCCAGCAGCCGCGGUAAUACGUAGGUGGCAAGCGUUGUCCGGAUUUACUGGGCGUAAAGAGCGCGCAGGCGGUCGUUCAAGUCGAAUGUGAAAGCCCCCGGCUUAACUGGGGAGGGUCAUUCGAUACUGAUCGACUUGAAGGCGGGAGAGGGAAGCGGAAUUCCCGGUGUAGUGGUGAAAUGCGUAGAUAUCGGGAGGAACACCAGUGGCGAAGGCGGCUUCCUGGUCCGUUCUUGACGCUGAGGCGCGAAAGCCAGGGGAGCAAACGGGAUUAGAUACCCCGGUAGUCCUGGCUGUAAACGAUGGACACUAGGUGUUGGUGGUAUCAACCCCGCCAGUGCCGUAGCUAACGCAUUAAGUGUCCCGCCUGAGGAGUACGGCCGCAAGGCUAAA